This 168-nucleotide small RNA is filed under the name Clostridiales bacterium. RNAcentral's name for it is "6S RNA". It matches the Rfam family "6S / SsrS RNA". Rfam says of the family: E. coli 6S RNA was the first non coding RNA to be sequenced, but its function was unknown until recently. It consists of 184 nucleotides that fold into an extended hairpin structure with a large single-stranded internal bulge. The record is from RNAcentral. Lineage: Bacteria; Bacillati; Bacillota; Clostridia; Eubacteriales.
AAGUACCUGGGAUGGGUGGGCUCUUUGUUGAACCUUCACGACAUUAAAUGGAAUCCGGGUCAGUCAAUGUAGGUCAAGCCGGUUUAGCCGGACGAUUGAAACUGGUUGCAGGAUACCGCCCUGGCUAUAGCUAGGUGUCAAAAAGGGUUCGUUCAUUCUAGGCUUUUU